CUAGCGACUUCAGAGUUUGAUCCUGGCUCAGGAUGAACGCUGGCGGCGUGCUUAACACAUGCAAGUCGAACGGACUGUACUUCGGUACAGUUAGUGGCGGACGGGUGAGUAACGCGUGGGUAACCUGUCUCACACUGGGGGAUAACAGUUAGAAAUAGCUGCUAAUACCGCAUAAGCGCACAGGGCCGCAUGGCCUGGUGUGAAAAACUCCGGUGGUGUGAGAUGGACCCGCGUCUGAUUAGGUAGUUGGUGAGGUAACGGCUCACCAAGCCGACGAUCAGUAGCCGGCCUGAGAGGGUGAACGGCCACAUUGGGACUGAGACACGGCCCAA
Molecule: ribosomal RNA, 332 nt
Filed under: uncultured bacterium
Lineage: Bacteria
Description: bacterial SSU rRNA
Rfam family: Bacterial small subunit ribosomal RNA
Source: RNAcentral